ACGUUAGGCUCUCUUGUCAUCUCCUCGUCAUCUUCGAUGAUUUUACUUAACUUUAUGUAGUUUUAGUGUAGUUACUGUACUUUUAUUAAUUUAGGAAAACAAUUAUCCCAACAUAAUUAUCCCAUAAAAUAUGAUAUAAUUUUUACAAUGAAAAAGGUUGAAUUGCUAAUUAUAAACUAUGAAUAUAGAUUUGAAAGAACAGGCUAAACGAAGCUUGCUAAAUAUUAAUUUAAAGCCAAUAAUGAUAUAAACAAGUUCUUUUAUCAACGUAUUUUAUAAAACAUGUUAACAAAUAGAGCUUCAAAUGGACAGAACUAUUGUAGAAAAUUAAUCAGUAUUCCUGCAUCAGCACAUCACCUGAUAAGCAAACACAUUGUCAAAUUGUAAUCUUAUAAAUGGUAGCACUGCCACCUCCCAGAUCUGAUGUGCUCAGUUCAUCAGUUCAGAUCCCAUGCCUGAAUGUUGUCUGUGCAGAGUUUGUGCAUUCUCAGGCUGUCUGAAUGGGAAUUCUUCUUCCAUCAUCAAAAGGCAAAAUGCAGUUUUCCAAAGCCUAUCCUGGAAUCAUCAAACACCAUUCACAAAGCAGCCUAUUGUCUAUUGUGAGGCACUCAUGAACAGUGUUUUUAUUAUUCUUUUGUUUUUCCUAAAAAGU
This is a long non-coding RNA of Polypterus senegalus (gray bichir), 652 nucleotides long. RefSeq lists it as uncharacterized. The record is from RefSeq and is a predicted model, not a curated record. The transcript has 3 exons. Lineage: Eukaryota; Metazoa; Chordata; Cladistia; Polypteriformes; Polypteridae.